Molecule: ribosomal RNA, 914 nt
Filed under: uncultured archaeon
Lineage: Archaea
Description: bacterial SSU rRNA
Rfam family: Archaeal small subunit ribosomal RNA
Source: RNAcentral
UUCCGGUUGAUCCUGCCGGAGGCCACUGCUAUUGGGAUCCGACUAAGCCAUGCGAGUCGAGAGGGUUCGGCCCUCGGCAGACUGCUCAGUAACACGUGGAUAACCUAACCUUAGGUGGAAGAUAACCUCGGGAAACUGAGAAUAAUAUUCCAUAGAUCUAGGAUGCUGGAAUGCAUCUAGAUUGAAAGUUCCGACGCCUAAGGAUGGGUCUGCGGACUAUCAGGUUGUAGUCAGGGUAAAGACCUGACUAGCCUACGACGGAUAUGGGUUGUGAGAGCAAUAGCCCAGAGACGAUAUCUGAGACACGAUAUCGGGCCCUACGGGGCGCAGCAGGCGCGAAAUCUUCACAAUGUGCGAAAGCACGAUGAGGGGAUCCCAAGUGCUGGCACGUAAGUGUCAGCUGUUUCUUAGUCUAAAAAACUGAGAGAGUAAGGGCUGGGUAAGACGGGUGCCAGCCGCCGCGGUAAUACCUGCAGCUCAAGUGGUGGCCGCUAUUAUUGGGCCUAAAACGUCCGUAGCCUGUUUAGUAAAUGCUUGGGUAAAUUGUGUAGCUUAACUAUACGAAUACCGGGUAGACUGCUAAACUUGGGACCGGGAGAGGCUAGAGGUACUCCUGGGGUAGAGGUGAAAUUCUGUAAUCCUAGGGGGACCACCAGUGGCGAAGGCGUCUAGCUAGAACGGGUCUGACGGUGAGGGACGAAGCCCUGGGGCGCAAACCGGAUUAGAUACCCGGGUAGUCCAGGGUGUAAACGCUGCUUGCUUGAUGUUAGUUGGGCUCCGAGCCCAACUAGUGUCGGAGAGAAGUUGUUAAGCAAGCUGCCUGGGAAGUACGGUCGCAAGACUAAAACUUAAAGGAAUUGGCGGGGGAGCACAGCAACGGGUGGAGCGUGCGGUUUAUUGGAGUCAACGCCGGA